UGUUAACACUGUUAAUUUGAAGGACUGGA
Molecule: non-coding RNA, 29 nt
Filed under: Rattus norvegicus (Norway rat)
Lineage: Eukaryota; Metazoa; Chordata; Mammalia; Rodentia; Muridae
Source: RNAcentral